GACGAACGCUGGCGGCGUGCUUAACACAUGCAAGUCGAACGGAAAGGCCCUGCUUUUGUGGGGUGCUCGAGUGGAGAACGGGGGAGUAACACGUGAGUAACCUGCCCUUGACGUUGGGAUAACUUCAGGAAACGGGGGCGAAUACCGGAUAGGAGCGCCUGCUGCAUGGUGGGGGUGGGAAAGGUUCGGCGGGUGGGGAUGGACUCGCGGCUUAGCAGCUUGUUGGUGGGGUAGUGGCUUACCAAGGCUUUGACGGAUAGCCGGCCUGAGAGCGUGACCGGCCACAUUCGGACUGAGAUACCGCGCAACCUUCUACGUGAGGCAGCAGUGCGGAAUAUUCCACAGUGGACUGAAGCCUGAUGCAGAAACGCCCUGUGCGGGAUGAAGGCCUUAGAGUUGUAAACCGCUUUCGCCUGUAACGAAGCGUUAGUGACGGUAACGGGUAAAGAAGCACCGGCUCACUACGUG
This 468-nucleotide ribosomal RNA is filed under the name uncultured bacterium. Its description in RNAcentral is "partial 16S ribosomal RNA". It matches the Rfam family "Bacterial small subunit ribosomal RNA", at positions 28 to 507 of the family's 1533-position model. The record is from RNAcentral.